CGGCAAUUACAUUCUGCAUAGCAGGCGGUAUCGUGAGUGACCCAGUUCAAGAACAAAAUGGAACAGCCUCACUGUGUAUCCUCGGCGUGUGGUGGAUGAUGAAAUCCGACCCCGGGGUCUUUUGUGAUGAUGGUAUUGGAGUAAAUCUGGCGGAAUGAAAAACAAACUGGAUGGAAAUGCACGAUGUGGAAUACAGCAGGUUUGGGGCUGCGGUCUCCUUCCAUCAUCGG
Long non-coding RNA from Polypterus senegalus (gray bichir), 230 nucleotides. RefSeq lists it as uncharacterized. NCBI's taxonomy places the organism in Eukaryota, Metazoa, Chordata, Cladistia, Polypteriformes, Polypteridae. The record is from RefSeq and is a predicted model, not a curated record. The transcript has 3 exons.